Molecule: ribosomal RNA, 253 nt
Filed under: uncultured bacterium
Lineage: Bacteria
Description: partial 16S ribosomal RNA
Rfam family: Bacterial small subunit ribosomal RNA
Source: RNAcentral
UACGUAGGGAGCAAGCGUUGUCCGGAAUCAUUGGGCGUAAAGCGCGCGUAGGUGGCCCCAUAAGUCCGCUGUGAAAGUCAAAGGCUCAACCUUUGAAAGCCGGUGGAUACUGUGGGACUAGAGUACGGAAGAGGCGAGUGGAAUUCCUGGUGUAGCGGUGGAAUGCGCAGAUAUCAGGAGGAACACCAAUAGCGAAGGCGGCUCGCUGGGACGUUACUGACACUGAGGCGCGAAAGCGUGGGGAGCGAACAGG